GUGCACCAGGCGCGAAACCUCCGCAAUGCGGGAAACCGUGACGGGGUCACCCCGAGUGCCACCCGAUGAGGGUGGCUUUUCCCCGGUCUAAAAGCCGGGGGCAAUAAGCGGGGGCAAGUCUGGUGUCAGCCGCCGCGGUAAUACCAGCCCCGCGAGUGGUCGGGACGUUUAUUGGGCCUAAAGCGUCCGUAGCCGGCUCGGUAAGUCCCUCCUUAAAUCCACGGGCUCAACCCGUGGGCUGGGAGGGAUACUGCCGGGCUAGGGGGCGGGAGAGGCCGAGGGUACUCCCGGGGUAGGGGCGAAAUCCGUUAAUCCCGGGAGGACCACCAGUGGCGAAGGCGCUUGGCUGGAACGCGCCCGACGGUGAGGGACGAAAGCUAGGGGAGC
Molecule: ribosomal RNA, 387 nt
Filed under: uncultured microorganism
Description: bacterial SSU rRNA
Rfam family: Archaeal small subunit ribosomal RNA
Source: RNAcentral